Molecule: small RNA, 73 nt
Filed under: Pseudomonas aeruginosa C3719
Lineage: Bacteria; Pseudomonadati; Pseudomonadota; Gammaproteobacteria; Pseudomonadales; Pseudomonadaceae
Description: Pseudomonas sRNA P10
Rfam family: Pseudomonas sRNA P10
Source: Rfam by way of RNAcentral
CCUGGGCGAUCCGACCGCGUGUCCCGCUGCCGGGCCACGGCAGCAACCCGAUCGUCGGCGGCUCGCCCGACGU